GGCUACAUGGUGUAAUGGUUCAGCACGUCGGAUUCUGAUUUUCGCAAGAAUCAUAGUUCCGGAGAUCUUGGUUCGAUUCCUAGUGAGGCCU
This 91-nucleotide transfer RNA is filed under the name Phialocephala subalpina. It matches the Rfam family "tRNA". From Rfam's summary of the family: Transfer RNA (tRNA) molecules are approximately 80 nucleotides in length. Lineage: Eukaryota; Fungi; Ascomycota; Leotiomycetes; Helotiales; Mollisiaceae. The record is from Rfam by way of RNAcentral.